GAUGAACGCUGGCGGCGUGCUUAACACAUGCAAGUCGAACGGAAAGGCCCAAGCUUGCUUGGGUACUCGAGUGGCGAACGGGUGAGUAACACGUGGGUGAUCUGCCCUGCACUUCGGGAUAAGCCUGGGAAACUGGGUCUAAUACCGGAUAGGACCACUUCUUGGAUGUUGUGGUGGAAAGUUUUUUCGGUGUGGGAUGAGCUCGCGGCCUAUCAGCUUGUUGGUGGGGUAAUGGCCUACCAACGCGUCGACGGGUAGCCGGCCUGAGAGGGUGUACGGCCAUAUUGGGCCUGAGAUACGGCCCAGACUCCUACGGGAGGCAGCAGUGGGGAAUAUUGCACAAUGGGCGCAAGCCUGAUGCAGCGACGCCGCGUGGGGGAUGACGGCCUUCGGGUUGUAAACUCCUUUCGCUAGGGACGAAGCGUUUUGUGACGGUACCUGGAGAAGAAGCACCGGCUAACUACGUG
Molecule: ribosomal RNA, 467 nt
Filed under: uncultured bacterium
Lineage: Bacteria
Description: partial 16S ribosomal RNA
Rfam family: Bacterial small subunit ribosomal RNA
Source: RNAcentral